GUUCAUCAAAAUCCAAGGUGGAUUUAUUUAAUUUUAUUUAUUUUGAUAUUUUACAGACAACAGAGCCCUGCAACAGAGGUUAACCUCCUCCACCCUCCUGUCCCCUCUUCUGUUGUCCAGGGAAAAGAGUAAAUAUUCGAGAACCACCUGGAGAAGACCUCUGUGCGGCUUGCUCUCCAUCAUUGUCCCGAGUGCUUCUUCGGCGGUGCAGUGUGGGAUUCCAGGCUUUAACAGAGGGGAAGGCGACAGGUUUUUCCUGAGGAUCUCUCGCAAGAGGGAGGAAGUGUCUCCUUAAUCCAGAGUCCCGAGGCUUCAGGCAGAGUGACCCAAUGAGGAAGCAACCCAGGAGAGCAACACCAGAYGAGGGGAGACUGAGGGAACAGCAGCGCCGACAGACAACCCCAGAAGAACCGAGCCGGACACAACAUAAAAUGGCGAUCACGAACAGGCCUGUUCAGUCUUAAAGGUUAAUAUUGAAUUAGCAGGGGUAUUAUUGGCCAUACUUAUCUCUGUUUUUUUUUAUUUUUAUGCCUCAGAGACUCAGGGCGGUUCAUAUGAGGUUUUGUCGGCCGGUCGCAGCGAUGGGCUCUGUGUAAUGUCUGGAGUUCUGUCUUUGUAUUGUUUUUUGUGUGUCCGACCUUGCUGAAUUAUUCGUUAUUUUUUGCGACGUGUUGCCCGCCGCAGGGAGUUAAGUAUGUGCUCUCUGGCGGUUUGUGAGUAAAGUACGCGUACUUUUGAAGAAAAAGUGUUUGAGAUGCAUCUCUUGUGUUGAGUUUUCGCUGCACCUCCGUAGUUAGAGGAACGGGUCGGCCGCGAGACGUCUUUGCCACCCUGAUAGCUGCUGGUAGGCACGGUGAAUUGUUCUGCUGUUAGCAGUGUUGUGUACGGGGCCGUUCAGCCUGGUCUUUUGUUCUCUCGCCCGGAUAAAAGUACCCGGUUGCAGUAUCUUCUGAGGCCUAAAUACUGUUUAAUUCCGAUGAAAUAGGCCGGGGAGAUAACGGAAUAUUGGGUGGUGGAGGCCCUGUCUAGUUACUGGAAGUUUAAAGGGGGACAUGUCACGUUUUUUUGUUGUUUUUUUUUUUUUUUUAAUUCUGUUCAAGCAAGGGAGUACAGGCCUGUGUGUUUGUCUGUCCUUAAUGGUUGUUUGAUG
Molecule: long non-coding RNA, 1150 nt
Organism: Austrofundulus limnaeus
Lineage: Eukaryota; Metazoa; Chordata; Actinopteri; Cyprinodontiformes; Rivulidae
Exons: 4
Source: RefSeq, a predicted model, not a curated record